This is a long non-coding RNA of Eucalyptus grandis, 522 nucleotides long. RefSeq lists it as uncharacterized. The transcript is spliced from 2 exons. The record is from RefSeq and is a predicted model, not a curated record. Lineage: Eukaryota; Viridiplantae; Streptophyta; Magnoliopsida; Myrtales; Myrtaceae.
GAUACUUUCGAUUACAUUUUAUCCAUGAGGAUGCUCAAAUGGAAGAACAGUUUGCCUCAAAUAAGCCAUGUUAUACUCUUCAAGGAAACCCUCUAACUUCGGUUAUCUCAAUCCCUUAAGAAUUCUUUUCAUGUUGAGGCAGCUUGAGACUCUGGAAUGAUAUCCAUCCAACUCCUGUUUUGUUGAAGGAUUGACACUGACAGCAAUUUCCUUAUGAACUUGAGGAAAUUUUCAACCAUAGUUAUGUGAUUCCUGACGCCAAAGAUUGAACAUCUUGACAUCAGAAACAAAGGACGCAUAUGCAGAGUCUCCUUCCCAUUCGAAGUUCUUUUGUUCUAGAGAGAACGUAUUUUGAUAGCUAGGACAGUUGCUAAAAAGCUGUUUGUCAAUUAUUCAAAUGUCUUUCUUGGUAGCCCUUAUGUUAAAAUCAAGAUUGUUCCCUGUGAUCAUGAUAUUGUUAGUUGUAUGAUCGAUUUGCAUUAUUUGGCAUUCUAAAUUUGUAUGCAGAUCUUGGGUUUUGAA